Molecule: ribosomal RNA, 253 nt
Filed under: uncultured bacterium
Lineage: Bacteria
Description: partial 16S ribosomal RNA
Rfam family: Bacterial small subunit ribosomal RNA
Source: RNAcentral
UACGGAGGGUGCGAGCGUUAAUCGGAAUUACUGGGCGUAAAGCGCACGUAGGCGGUUCUAUAAGUGGGAUGUGAAACCCCCGGGCUUAACCUGGGACUUGCAUACCAGACUGUGGGACUAGAGUAUGAUAGAGGGUGGUGGAAUUUCCGGUGUAGCGGUGAAAUGCGUAGAGAUCGGAAGGAACAUCAGUGGCGAAGGCGGCCACCUGGAUUAAUACUGACGCUGAGGUGCGAAAGCGUGGGGAUCAAACAGG